UUUUUUCUGUCUAUGAAGAAAUACCAUAAAAAUGUUGGUGCACACUGAAUAACGCCCGUAGCGGGUUAUUUAACAGUGUGCACCACAUUUUUUUAUGUUAUUUCGAAUAGACAGAAAAAAAUAUUACAGUCAUUUCUUAUAAUUUAAUUCUAAAUUCCAUUUUAAACCGUAGAAAACCAUGAAAAAACGUUGAUUACGUCACGGUCACGUGACUAAAUUAUGUCUAUGGGCU
This 232-nucleotide long non-coding RNA is filed under the name Mytilus galloprovincialis (Mediterranean mussel). The record is from RNAcentral. Lineage: Eukaryota; Metazoa; Mollusca; Bivalvia; Mytilida; Mytilidae.